This 253-nucleotide ribosomal RNA is filed under the name uncultured bacterium. RNAcentral's name for it is "partial 16S ribosomal RNA". It matches the Rfam family "Bacterial small subunit ribosomal RNA", at positions 524 to 776 of the family's 1533-position model. The record is from RNAcentral.
UACGAAGGGGGCUAGCGUUGUUCGGAAUUACUGGGCGUAAAGGGUUUGUAGGUGGCUUGCUAAGUCAGACGUGAAAUCCCUCAGCUUAACUGGGGAACUGCGUCUGAGACUGGCGAGCUUGAGUGCAGGAGAGGAACGCGGAAUUCCAGGUGUAGCGGUGAAAUGCGUAGAUAUCUGGAGGAACACCGGUGGCGAAGGCGGCGUUCUGGACUGCAACUGACACUGUAAAACGAAAGCCAGGGGAGCAAACGGG